GCAUAUCGCGAGUGAUGAACCCAAGGUGAGAUAUACUUUAUCCAAUUAUAGAGAUAGAGCUGAUGAGGAAAAAACCCGCUACAAGACGAGUGCGAAGGCACAGCGGCGGAGCGCGGGGCGCGGCUUUCUCUACGGUAGCAACUUCGGCCGAUAUAAACGCGCGUCGCGGUGGAUUACUUCGGCAUUCGGUGCACAGCCGUCUCGCCCGCUACAGUUGCAGGCUCCAGAAUAUCCGUUGUUCCAUUUCACUGUUGUUGUUUUACAUACUUUUAAGGCGAAUUAUUAAUGUAAUAUGAUUAGAUAUCCAUUUGUAGCGAAGGUCGUUCGAGUCUACGCCUCGGCUGGACCGGAAAAUACGAGGAAAUUCAUCAUCCGCUUUUCAAGGCAUUAGUAGAAUUCUGUUCGGACAUAUCGUUUUUUCGUGCCUUAU
This is a long non-coding RNA of Maniola jurtina (meadow brown), 430 nucleotides long. RefSeq lists it as uncharacterized. The transcript has 2 exons. The record is from RefSeq and is a predicted model, not a curated record. Lineage: Eukaryota; Metazoa; Arthropoda; Insecta; Lepidoptera; Nymphalidae.